Molecule: long non-coding RNA, 892 nt
Organism: Thalassophryne amazonica
Lineage: Eukaryota; Metazoa; Chordata; Actinopteri; Batrachoidiformes; Batrachoididae
Exons: 4
Source: RefSeq, a predicted model, not a curated record
CGAGCCGCGCUGAGCUAACGUUAGCAAACGUGUGUGCUAUGUAUGUUGAUUUGGCACAAGGUUUACGCCGGAUGCCCAUUCUGAUACAAUGGUGAUAAAGAAACUGCGUUAUAUCGCUGAAAUUGACGAAAUCAAAAUGUUAUUUUGAAAAGACGUUAGCGGGGAAAACAGCAGCAGCUAGCUUCAUCAUUUAGUAGCAGACAAGUUAUUUUUAAUAUGACUUUUGAGUCAAAAACAGUUGGUGGAGAGUCAGAUAAAUGUUAUAUCUGCCUGAGUCCGUUUACAGAGCAAACUGUGGCUUCGCUGGAGAACUCAGCAUGAUUUUUGUCUUGAUUGUAUCCUCCGGUGGUCCCAGACAGCCAGUAUCUGCCCUGUGGAUCGGCUCAGCUUUGGUUUCAUAUACCAGAGACGACACGUGGGAGGGAACGUUGAAAAGAAGAUCAGAGUGACUAACCAGAAGAAGCACGUGGAUGAUGAGGAGGACAGUGAUGCUGUUUUCUGUGAGGAAUGUGGACGGGGUGACAGUAGACAUCAGCUGCUUGUGUGCACGCACUGUGAUUCAGGGCAGCUCCAAUGCAGAGGAGGAGCUCAGCGAUGGAAAGCUAACAGACCUUCUAACUGAGGCAGGUGAAAUUCCGUCUGCCACCAGCCGUCUUCGACCCUGUGCUGUAAAUCAACCCAGCAGUUACAACAGGCAGCGACGCAGCCAAAGAAUCCAGAGCAGAGCCAGCAGGAGUGGAGUUCGUACCCCCAACACUCCCUGGGUCAGUCCAACAUUACACACAGGAUCAAAUUAUUAGUAUAAACGUGAAAAUCUGUCAAACUGUAAUUUCAUUAUGAUUUGUGAGUGUACAUAACAAUGUAACAUAAACAUUGCAUGUUUAUAGGGAAA